GACGAACGCUGGCGGCAUGCUUAACGCAUGCAAGUCGAACGGAAAGGCCCUGCUUGCCGGGUACUCGAGUGGCGAACGGGUGAGUAACACGUGGGUGAUCUGCCCUGCACUUCGGGAUAAGCCUGGGAAACUGGGUCUAAUACCGGAUAGGAGCCAUUUUUAGUGUGAUGGUUGGAAAGUUUUUUCGGUGUAGGAUGAGCUCGCGGCCUAUCAGCUUGUUGGUGGGGUAAUGGCCUACCAAGGCGGCGACGGGUAGCCGGCCUGAGAGGGUGGACGGCCACAUUGGGACUGAGAUACGGCCCAGACUCCUACGGGAGGCAGCAGUGGGGAAUAUUGCACAAUGGGCGCAAGCCUGAUGCAGCGACGCCGCGUGGGGGAUGACGGCCUUCGGGUUGUAAACUCCUUUCGCUAGGGACGAAGCUUUUUGUGACGGUACCUAGAUAAGAAGCACCGGCUAACUACGUG
This 465-nucleotide ribosomal RNA is filed under the name uncultured bacterium. RNAcentral's name for it is "partial 16S ribosomal RNA". It matches the Rfam family "Bacterial small subunit ribosomal RNA", at positions 28 to 507 of the family's 1533-position model. The record is from RNAcentral.